GUGGGGAAUCUUGCGCAAUGGGCGAAAGCCUGACGCAGCCAUGCCGCGUGAAUGAUGAAGGUCUUAGGAUUGUAAAAUUCUUUCACCGGGGACGAUAAUGACGGUACCCGGAGAAGAAGCCCCGGCUAACUUCGUGCCAGCAGCCGCGGUAAUACGAAGGGGGCUAGCGUUGCUCGGAAUUACUGGGCGUAAAGGGCGCGUAGGCGGACAGUUUAGUCAGAGGUGAAAGCCCAGGGCUCAACCUUGGAAUUGCCUUUGAUACUGGCUGUCUUGAGUACGUGAGAGGUGAGUGGAACUCCGAGUGUAGAGGUGAAAUUCGUAGAUAUUCGGAAGAACACCAGUGGCGAAGGCGACUCACUGGCCCGUUACUGACGCUGAGGCGCGAAAGCGUGGGGAGCAAACAGGAUUAGAUACCCGGGUAGUCC
Molecule: ribosomal RNA, 425 nt
Filed under: uncultured bacterium
Lineage: Bacteria
Description: partial 16S ribosomal RNA
Rfam family: Bacterial small subunit ribosomal RNA
Source: RNAcentral